AUGAGGCUAUUGACAUGAAAUUUUCACAAGACUUUGGUAUUAACUCAAGAAAUCCACACAUGUAAAGAAUUCUAAACAUUAAAGUCCAUAAAUGAAGUUGUGUGUAAUAAAAUGGAAUGACACAUGACACGUGUAUUGAACACGAUAACUGAAAUGUAUUUAAUACUUAGUGGAGAAGCCUUUUGUUUGUAAUGACAGCUUCAAGACGCUUCCUGUACGAAGAAAUUAAUCGGCCGCAGUAUUCAGCAAUUGAGAGUUUCCUUUGCUGUAUUCUUUGGAUCGUUGUCCUGCUGGAAGUCCACCCACAUCUCAUCUUCUUCAUCCUGGUGGAUGGCAGCAGAUUCUUCUCAAGAAUCUCCCGGCAAAGGGCUCCGUUCAUCGUUCCUUCAGUUAGAUGAAGUCUGCCAGUACCAUGUGAUGAAAAACAGCCCCACGCUAUGAUGCUUCCACCUCCAAACUUCACUGUUGGUAUAGUGUUUAUAGGGUGAUGACAGUACCAUUUCUUCUCCAAACAUGGAAUGUAGUAUGAUAGGCAGAAAGUUCAAUUUUGCUCUCGUUUGACCAGACUACACUCUCCCAGACUUCAUAGGCUUGUCCAAAUGAGUUGUAGCAAACUUUAAACGAGCUUCAACAUGCCUUUUCUUUAGUAAUGGAGGCUUGUGGGGUGAGCAUGAGCAUUGGAGUGCAUUGCCUAUUGUUUUCUCUGUGAUGAUGGCACCUGCUGCCUCCAAGUGUUUCUGGAGCUCUUUCCGAAUGGUCCUUGGAUCUUGGGCUACUCUCCUGACUCCCUGGUCAGAAAUCUUCCGAGGAGCUCCUGUGCCUGGCCAGUUAAUGUUGCUUCCACCUAGGGAUAAUGGCCCCAAUGGUGCUUACUGGAAGAUUCAGAAGUUUUGAAAUACGUCUGUAUCCGAUUCCAUUGAUAUGUUUCACAACAAUAAGGUUGCAAAGGUCUUGGGAGAGCUCUUUGCUUUUAACAAUCAUGAGAUCAUUUCUUGUGUGACACCUUGGUAACGAAAAGCCUUUUUAUAGACCAUCAAUUUACUAACCCAGCUGAUAGUAAUUUGCAGAGAUAGGGGGUAUAAUUACUUUAUAAUUACUUAUGGAUUUCAGCUGGUUCCUUGCCUUACCUUGCCUUGGAGAACUGUUUUUC
Molecule: long non-coding RNA, 1150 nt
Organism: Ictalurus punctatus (channel catfish)
Lineage: Eukaryota; Metazoa; Chordata; Actinopteri; Siluriformes; Ictaluridae
Source: Ensembl